RNAcentral lists this ribosomal RNA (462 nucleotides) under Escherichia coli. RNAcentral describes it as "partial 23S ribosomal RNA". It matches the Rfam family "Bacterial large subunit ribosomal RNA", at positions 1292 to 1756 of the family's 2925-position model. Lineage: Bacteria; Pseudomonadati; Pseudomonadota; Gammaproteobacteria; Enterobacterales; Enterobacteriaceae. The record is from RNAcentral.
GAAUGCUGACAUAAGUAACGAUAAAGCGGGUGAAAAGCCCGCUCGCCGGAAGACCAAGGGUUCCUGUCCAACGUUAAUCGGGGCAGGGUGAGUCGACCCCUAAGGCGAGGCCGAAAGGCGUAGUCGAUGGGAAACAGGUUAAUAUUCCUGUACUUGGUGUUACUGCGAAGGGGGGACGGAGAAGGCUAUGUUGGCCGGGCGACGGUUGUCCCGGUUUAAGCGUGUAGGCUGGUUUUCCAGGCAAAUCCGGAAAAUCAAGGCUGAGGCGUGAUGACGAGGCACUACGGUGCUGAAGCGACAAAUGCCCUGCUUCCAGGAAAAGCCUCUAAGCAUCAGGUAACAUCAAAUCGUACCCCAAACCGACACAGGUGGUCAGGUAGAGAAUACCAAGGCGCUUGAGAGAACUCGGGUGAAGGAACUAGGCAAAAUGGUGCCGUAACUUCGGGAGAAGGCACGCUGAUA